GACGAACGCUGGCGGCGUGCCUAAUACAUGCAAGUAGAACGCUGAAGCGAGGAGCUUGCUCUUCUUGGCUGAGUUGCGAACGGGUGAGUAACGCGUAGGUAACCUGCCUUGUAGCGGGGGAUAACUAUUGGAAACGAUAGCUAAUACCGCAUAACAAUGGAUGACACAUGUCAUUUAUUUGAAAGGGGCAAUUGCUCCACUACAAGAUGGACCUGCGUUGUAUUAGCUAGUAGGUGAGGUAAUGGCUCACCUAGGCGACGAUACAUAGCCGACCUGAGAGGGUGAUCGGCCACACUGGGACUGAGACACGGCCCAGACUCCUACGGGAGGCAGCAGUAGGGAAUCUUCGGCAAUGGGGGCAACCCUGACCGAGCAACGCCGCGUGAGUGAAGAAGGGUUUCGGAUCGUAAAGCUCUGUUGUAAGUCAAGAACGGGUGUGAGAGUGGAAAGUUCACACUGUGACGGUAGCUUACCAGAAAGGGACGGCUAACUACGUG
Molecule: ribosomal RNA, 497 nt
Filed under: uncultured bacterium
Lineage: Bacteria
Description: partial 16S ribosomal RNA
Rfam family: Bacterial small subunit ribosomal RNA
Source: RNAcentral